UAGGGAAUCUUCGGCAAUGGACGGAAGUCUGACCGAGCAACGCCGCGUGAGUGAAGAAGGUUUUCGGAUCGUAAAGCUCUGUUGUUAGAGAAGAACGUUGGUAGGAGUGGAAAAUCUACCAAGUGACGGUAACUAACCAGAAAGGGACGGCUAACUACGUGCCAGCAGCCGCGGUAAUACGUAGGUCCCGAGCGUUGUCCGGGUUUAUUGGGCGUAAAGCGAGCGCAGGCGGUUCUUUAAGUCUGAAGUUAAAGGCAGUGGCUUAACCAUUGUACGCUUUGGAAACUGGAGGACUUGAGUGCAGAAGGGGAGAGUGGAAUUCCAUGUGUAGCGGUGAAAUGCGUAGAUAUAUGGAGGAACACCGGUGGCGAAAGCGGCUCUCUGGUCUGUAACUGACGCUGAGGCUCGAAAGCGUGGGGAGCAAACAGG
RNAcentral lists this ribosomal RNA (429 nucleotides) under Bacillota bacterium. RNAcentral describes it as "Firmicutes bacterium partial 16S ribosomal RNA". It matches the Rfam family "Bacterial small subunit ribosomal RNA", at positions 355 to 776 of the family's 1533-position model. The record is from RNAcentral. Lineage: Bacteria; Bacillati; Bacillota.